Molecule: non-coding RNA, 601 nt
Filed under: Rattus norvegicus (Norway rat)
Lineage: Eukaryota; Metazoa; Chordata; Mammalia; Rodentia; Muridae
Description: Eukaryotic large subunit ribosomal RNA
Rfam family: Eukaryotic large subunit ribosomal RNA
Source: Rfam by way of RNAcentral
CCCUUAUGAAUAUGGAUGUAAAAAAAAUAAAUAAAAUUCUCACAAACCAAAUCUAAGAGGAUAUCAAAACCAUCAUCCAAAUACUGGCACGAGACCGAUAGCCAACAAGUACCGUAAGGGAAAGUUGAAAAGAACUUUGAAGACAGAGUUCAAGAGGGCAUGAAACCGUUAAGAGAAUUAUUUAUUUUGUGUCUAUGAGAGUACACUGUGACUGUCUUCAGACACACCAGAGGAAGGCCUCAUCCCAUUACCGAUGGUUGUGUGCCACCAUGUGCUUGCUGGGGAUUGAAAACUCAGGACCUCUGGAGGAGCGGCCAGGGCUCUAAACCGCUGAGGCAUCUCUCCAGCCCUCUUUUUCCAGUUUGAAAUAAGCCUCCAUGGUGACCAGACUGCCUUGGGGUAAUCAGAAUGGAGGCCAGAACCAGUCUUUUUUAUGACGCACUGAGACUACAUACCAGCCGAUUUGGAGAAAAAGAUGUCCCUCUCCUUCCCUUCCUCCCUCCCUCCCUCCCUCCCUCCCUCCUUGACCCAUUUUCCCUCUUCCCCUAUACACUCAAUAAAUUUAAAGUAAAUAAAAAAAAAAAACCAUCAUCCAACAUGA